Molecule: ribosomal RNA, 1079 nt
Filed under: Prochlorococcus sp. scB245a_519G16
Lineage: Bacteria; Bacillati; Cyanobacteriota; Cyanophyceae; Synechococcales; Prochlorococcaceae
Description: bacterial SSU rRNA
Rfam family: Bacterial small subunit ribosomal RNA
Source: RNAcentral
GGAAUUUUCCGCAAUGGGCGAAAGCCUGACGGAGCAACGCCGCGUGAGGGACGAAGGCCUCUGGGCUGUAAACCUCUUUUCUCAAGGAAGAAGAUAUGACGGUACUUGAGGAAUAAGCCACGGCUAAUUCCGUGCCAGCAGCCGCGGUAAUACGGGAGUGGCAAGCGUUAUCCGGAAUUAUUGGGCGUAAAGCGUCCGCAGGCGGCUUUUCAAGUCUGCUGUUAAAGCGUGGAGCUUAACUCCAUCAUGGCAGUGGAAACUGAAAGGCUUGAGUAUGGUAGGGGCAGAGGGAAUUCCCGGUGUAGCGGUGAAAUGCGUAGAUAUCGGGAAGAACACCAGUGGCGAAGGCGCUCUGCUGGGCCAUUACUGACGCUCAUGGACGAAAGCCAGGGGAGCGAAAGGGAUUAGAUACCCCUGUAGUCCUGGCCGUAAACGAUGAACACUAGGUGUCGGGGGAAUCGACCCCUUCGGUGUCGUAGCUAACGCGUUAAGUGUUCCGCCUGGGGAGUACGCACGCAAGUGUGAAACUCAAAGGAAUUGACGGGGGCCCGCACAAGCGGUGGAGUAUGUGGUUUAAUUCGAUGCAACGCGAAGAACCUUACCAGGGUUUGACAUCCUGCGAACCUCUUAGAAAUUUGAGGGUGCCUUCGGGAAUGCAGUGACAGGUGGUGCAUGGCUGUCGUCAGCUCGUGUCGUGAGAUGUUGGGUUAAGUCCCGCAACGAGCGCAACCCACGUUUUUAGUUGCCAGCAUUUAGUUGGGCACUCUAGAAAGACCGCCGGUGAUAAACCGGAGGAAGGUGUGGAUGACGUCAAGUCAUCAUGCCCCUUACACCCUGGGCUACACACGUACUACAAUGCUACGGACAAAGGGCAGCAAACUCGCGAGAGCUAGCAAAUCCCAUAAACCGUGGCUCAGUUCAGAUCGUAGGCUGCAACUCGCCUACGUGAAGUAGGAAUCGCUAGUAAUCGCAGGUCAGCAUACUGCGGUGAAUACGUUCCCGGGCCUUGUACACACCGCCCGUCACACCAUGGAAGUUGGCCAUGCCCGAAGUCGUUACUCCAACCCUUGUGGAGGAGG